CCUACGGGUGGCUGCAGUGGGGAAUAUUGGACAAUGGGCGAAAGCCUGAUCCAGCCAUGCCGCGUGUGUGAAGAAGGCCUUCGGGUUGUAAAGCACUUUCAGUGGGGAAGAAAGCCUUGGGGCUAAUACCCUCGAGGAAGGACAUCACCCACAGAAGAAGCACCGGCUAACUCCGUGCCAGCAGCCGCGGUAAUACGGAGGGUGCGAGCGUUAAUCGGAAUUACUGGGCGUAAAGCGCGCGUAGGCGGUCUGAUAAGCCGGUUGUGAAAGCCCCGGGCUCAACCUGGGAACGGCAUCCGGAACUGUCAGGCUAGAGUGCAGGAGAGGAAGGUAGAAUUCCCGGUGUAGCGGUGAAAUGCGUAGAGAUCGGGAGGAAUACCAGUGGCGAAGGCGGCCUUCUGGACUGACACUGACGCUGAGGUGCGAAAGCGUGGGUAGCAAACAGGAUUAGAUACCCUGGAGUC
RNAcentral lists this ribosomal RNA (464 nucleotides) under Vreelandella stevensii. Its description in RNAcentral is "partial 16S ribosomal RNA". It matches the Rfam family "Bacterial small subunit ribosomal RNA", at positions 338 to 795 of the family's 1533-position model. Lineage: Bacteria; Pseudomonadati; Pseudomonadota; Gammaproteobacteria; Oceanospirillales; Halomonadaceae. The record is from RNAcentral.